Molecule: transfer RNA, 81 nt
Filed under: Ceratobasidium sp. AG-Ba
Lineage: Eukaryota; Fungi; Basidiomycota; Agaricomycetes; Cantharellales; Ceratobasidiaceae
Rfam family: tRNA
About the family: Transfer RNA (tRNA) molecules are approximately 80 nucleotides in length. Their secondary structure includes four short double-helical elements and three loops (D, anti-codon, and T loops).
Source: Rfam by way of RNAcentral
GCCUGGCUAGCUCAAUCGGUAGAGCGUGAGACUCUUAAAACAGGCAUCUCAAGGUUGUGGGUUCGACCCCCACGUUAGGCU